MicroRNA precursor from Poecilia formosa (Amazon molly), 112 nucleotides. The record is from Ensembl. Lineage: Eukaryota; Metazoa; Chordata; Actinopteri; Cyprinodontiformes; Poeciliidae.
CAGGAUAGUUGCUGCGAAUGUUCCUCUCUGUGCUCCCAUUUGGAACCGUCCCGAAGCGAAAAGGAGGAUAAUGCUCCUGUGGUUUUUGAAACUGCAGAGACACAGCAGAUGA